Molecule: ribosomal RNA, 311 nt
Filed under: Escherichia sp. AI(2010)
Lineage: Bacteria; Pseudomonadati; Pseudomonadota; Gammaproteobacteria; Enterobacterales; Enterobacteriaceae
Description: bacterial SSU rRNA
Rfam family: Bacterial small subunit ribosomal RNA
Source: RNAcentral
ACCUUCGGGCCUCUUGCCAUCGGAUGUGCCCAGAUGGGAUUAGCUAGUAGGUGGGGUAAAGGCUCACCUAGGCGACGAUCCCUAGCUGGUCUGAGAGGAUGACCAGCCACACUGGAACUGAGACACGGUCCAGACUCCUACGGGAGGCAGCAGUGGGGAAUAUUGCACAAUGGGCGCAAGCCUGAUGCAGCCAUGCCGCGUGUAUGAAGAAGGCCUUCGGGUUGUAAAGUACUUUCAGCGGGGAGGAAGGGAGUAAAGUUAAUACCUUUGCUCAUUGACGUUACCCGCAGAAGAAGCACCGGCUAACUCCG